This 77-nucleotide transfer RNA is filed under the name Chloroflexota bacterium. RNAcentral's name for it is "Chloroflexi bacterium tRNA-Val". It matches the Rfam family "tRNA". Rfam says of the family: Transfer RNA (tRNA) molecules are approximately 80 nucleotides in length. RNAcentral also lists the same sequence under 2 other names. Lineage: Bacteria; Bacillati; Chloroflexota. The record is from RNAcentral.
GGACGAUUAGCUCAGCUGGUUAGAGCACUUGUUUUACACACAAGGGGUCGGGGGUUCGAGUCCCUCAUCGUCCACCA